Molecule: long non-coding RNA, 986 nt
Organism: Gallus gallus (chicken)
Lineage: Eukaryota; Metazoa; Chordata; Aves; Galliformes; Phasianidae
Exons: 5
Source: RefSeq, a predicted model, not a curated record
CUGCAGAUGGAGUUCUUCUCGCAGGACUGAAAGUGCUGAAGCUCUCUGAGCUCCGAAGGCACCCUGAACUCAUGAGGCUUUUUCUUGGUUGGCAACGUGCUUAAAAAAGAAAGAAAUGCAAAUGGGCAUUUCCACGUGACUGUAUUCUGCUCAGUGCAGUGUCUGCCUGUGUUGCAGACUGAGCUCCGUGGCAUUGCAAAGAAUGCACCAAAUCAAGAUGUGGCCGUUGUAUGAAGUAAGUUUGUGGUUGCUGUGAAGCUGGGAGGAAUGUUGACUGCCUUGGGGGUUGAGAGGCCUUGCAGCAAGAUGUGGAGAAAUGUGAGGGUGGUCCCCAUCUGCCCGAAGAAGAGCAAGCGCUGCGUUCUGCACCUGAUGCGGCAGCCCUGGCUAUAAGCCCUCAGCAAACAGUCGUCCUGUUCCACUUUUGGCCAGUCUCAGAUGCUUGUCUUCCAGAAUGUCUGCGUGUGGAUGAAUCACAACAGGAUCCUGGGAACUUUUAAGAAAGGAAAGAUUGCUUCACGUGUAAUGAAAAGCUAGUGUCCAGAAGAUCACUGCGGCCAGAUGCCAAUUUUGAUGCCCUCGUCAGUAAGACUUGUCCAAGCCCUGAUGUAUGUGAAACUCAUCAGGAGGGAAUGCUGGCAAGAAUCAGCUAACACAGUAGCAGCAAGCUUUCAGUGACAGCGUUAAGGAAGGGUGACGAUUCAGGCUGGGAGCAGGUAUGUCAUCACCUGACUUGACCACAUGUAACUUGAUGCUAGAAAUACACCACGUCCUCCCUCCCUGCAUGGCAAGAGAUGGCUCUCUUCUCCUGCAAAGGCAGCCGAAGUAACUUCUGUGUGCUGACUAGAGAGAGAAAACUUGGUGUCACUCCUUGCAAGUCCUGUGGCAGCCAGAUAUUGUGUGAUGAGAGUUGCUGUCUAUUUACUGUGUUUGGUUUCUUUGCUUUGCCAUGCUGUACACGAGUAAAGGAAAUGAAUGGAAUACGA